AAGACUGGACAUCACAAAAUACAUUACAGGUAAUGAUUUAAUUACACUUUCUCAAUUGCUAAAUGUUCAAGAUACACCCAUUCAAAGGUACUAUGGCCAUGCUGUCAUCAGCAUCAGAUUCUGACUAAUUACCUCCACAAUUUCUUACUAGUCUGGGUGCUAGAAAACUUACUUUUCAUAGUGGCAUAUGAUUCAAUAAACUGGAGAUAGUCUCAACAUCCAGUGCAACAAUGAGUGUACAUCCAUCUCAAAGGCAUCCAGUGAGAUCAUAUGGCUUCAAG
Molecule: long non-coding RNA, 281 nt
Filed under: Amborella trichopoda
Lineage: Eukaryota; Viridiplantae; Streptophyta; Magnoliopsida; Amborellales; Amborellaceae
Description: long non-coding RNA (ATRI_LNC000717)
Source: RNAcentral